GAGUCGAUAUUAGAACCUUAUAUUAUCUGAAGAGAGGUGAUGACAUAAAAUCAUGCUCAAUGGGAUUACGCUGGGAGGC
Molecule: small nucleolar RNA, 79 nt
Organism: Chlorocebus sabaeus (green monkey)
Lineage: Eukaryota; Metazoa; Chordata; Mammalia; Primates; Cercopithecidae
Product: small nucleolar RNA SNORD115
Source: RefSeq, a predicted model, not a curated record